CAGCGCCACGAGUGGGGAUCCUGUUUAUUUGGCCUAAAGCGUCCGUAGCUGGUUUAGUAAAUCUCUUGUGAAAUCGUUAGGCUUAACUUAACGGCAUGCAGGAGAGACUGCUAGACUAGGGACCGGGAGGAGUCAGAGGUAUGUUGGGGGGAGCGGUAAAAUGCUAUAAUCCUCAGUAGACCACCUAUGGCGAAGGCAUCUGACUAGAACGGGUCCGACAGUGAGGGACGAAAGCCAGGGGAGCAAACCGGAUUAGAUACCCGAGUAGUCC
RNAcentral lists this ribosomal RNA (271 nucleotides) under uncultured archaeon. RNAcentral's name for it is "partial 16S ribosomal RNA". It matches the Rfam family "Archaeal small subunit ribosomal RNA", at positions 477 to 747 of the family's 1478-position model. The record is from RNAcentral.